This 972-nucleotide long non-coding RNA is filed under the name Homo sapiens (human). RNAcentral describes it as "HSALNT0018021". Lineage: Eukaryota; Metazoa; Chordata; Mammalia; Primates; Hominidae. The record is from RNAcentral.
UGUGAGGGGGGGAAGGCGGAGGGCUUUCCGAGAUGGUGGUUUUCACCAGGGGAACAGGCUACCACACACAGCUGCCUCUCAUGAAUUUGGGAUGGGAAAUCAAAGAGGAGGAGCUGUAACACAUCCCUGGGUCAGUGCCAAAAGAAGAUAAAGGAACAGCUGCAAGAUACUGCAGAGUGAAGAAUGGUAAUUCAGCAGAAGCCAGAAAUCAAACCCAGAGGUACCAAGAGAAUGGGAAGCCCAGAAGUAUCUCAGGGAGUUUGGGAGAGCACCAACUUCCCAUAACACAUGGGAUGAGGUUUCCAGGAUUCAAUGAGAAGACAGCAGUCUGCAAUCCAGAAGAGGACCCUCACCAGAAUGCAACCCUGCCAGCAUGCUGAUCUAGGAUUUCUAGCCUUCCAAACUGCGAGAAAUAAAUUUCAUUUGUAUAUAAGCCAUCCAGUCUGUGGUGCUUUGUCAUACCAGCCCCAAAUGACUAAAACAAUAGGUGGUGUGUGUUUCGAUUUUGAUCCUCUCCUUUGAUCAUUCCAUCCUGCUUUAUUUGUUUCUGUUUUCCCCUGUGGUUCCAUACUCCAAUGUAAACCAUGUUGGCCACAGUGAUAGAUCACUGUUUUUUAUUAUUUUUAGAGUUGGUUAGCCAGAACAAUAAAAAUUAAAUUUAUCAAAUCUAUGUAGUAUGAGCAGGCUAGUGAAAACUAAAAUUUAAAUAAUAAUAGAAAAGCCUAAAGUUAGCUGGAAAGAGCAUAUCCAAUUCAGCUAAAUCACUUAUUCAUUGAAUUCAACAAAUACUCUGUGCCAAAUACUCUGCUAGGUUCUGGAACUUUGAAUAUGAAAAAACCCAGUUGUCCCUCUCCAUGAGUUCACAGUUCAGUGGGGAUACAAAAGCAAAUACUUAUGAUACAAUGUAGGAAGUGCAAAAUAUAAAAACAAUCAUGGCUUUUAUGAGAUCACUGAAGAAAGAGGCACUUAGUG